RNAcentral lists this ribosomal RNA (468 nucleotides) under uncultured bacterium. Its description in RNAcentral is "partial 16S ribosomal RNA". It matches the Rfam family "Bacterial small subunit ribosomal RNA", at positions 28 to 507 of the family's 1533-position model. The record is from RNAcentral.
GACGAACGCUGGCGGCGUGCUUAACACAUGCAAGUCGAACGGUAAGGCCCUGCUUGCGUGGGGUGCUCGAGUGGCGAACGGGUGAGUAACACGAGUGUAACCUGCCCUUCUCUUUGGUAUAACUUCAGGAAACUGGGGAUAAUCCCGGAUAGGAGCUCCCGCCGCGUGGUGGGGGUUGGAAAGUUUCGGCGGUUGUGGAUGGACUCGCGGCUUAUCAGCUUGUUGGUGGGGUAGUGGCUUACCAAGGCGUUGACGGGUAGCCGGCCUGAGAGGGUGACCGGCCACACUGGGACUGAGACACGGCCCAGACUCCUACGGGAGGCAGCAGUGGGGAAUAUUGCACAAUGGGCGGAAGCCUGAUGCAGCGACGCCGCGUGCGGGAUGACGGCCUUCGGGUUGUAAACCGCUGUCGGCAGUGAAGAAGCGAAAGUGACGGUAAUGGGAAAAGAAGCACCGGCUAACUACGUG